Molecule: long non-coding RNA, 603 nt
Organism: Pseudopipra pipra
Lineage: Eukaryota; Metazoa; Chordata; Aves; Passeriformes; Pipridae
Exons: 2
Source: RefSeq, a predicted model, not a curated record
UCUCUUCCUGGAGCGAAGAACGUGGGGAUGACACCAAAAAACCACCUUGAUUUGGCUUUUCUCGCCCCCAUCCCGAGGUUUUUCCCUCUGGAUCCCGGUGGAUUCCGGGCUCCUUUUGGUGUCUGUGGGUAUUGUGACCUUCUGUUGUGUCACCACAGAGGGGUUGGGGACCCCCAGCCGGGCUCAGAGGGGUAAAAAAAAAGGGAUGCAACCCCAAAAUCUCCUCGUUUUUGGCCCCUGCUGAGCGUGUCCUUGGGGCAGGUCCCUGUCCCAGGGGGACAAUUCCAUCCCUUUCUGCUCCUUGGACUGUUCUCAGCAGCUGGGAGGACACCAGACCUGGGAUUUGGUUCCACUCCCACAAAAAUCUGGGGCUUGACACCCCCCGCCUCCACCCUCCACCAUUUAAAAAAAAAAUAAUAAAAAAUAUUCUCCUAAUAACUAAAGGCCUAUUUUCCACAUACUUGAAUUUCCAGCACAGUUUGGACUCUUUUUGAGGGACUUUAAAGGCACUUUAACUGUCUUUUACUGCAAUGUAUUUACUAUGGAUUUACCUGCAUGGAAUAAGGAGUCUGGAUAUGAAAUAAAAACCUCCUUCCUUUUGGA